GACGAACGCUGGCGGCGUGCUUAACACAUGCAAGUCGAGCGGUAAGGCCUCUUCGGGGGUACACGAGCGGCGAACGGGUGAGUAACACGUGGGUGACCUGCCCUCAGCUCUGGGAUAAGCCUGGGAAACUGGGUCUAAUACCGGAUAUUACCUUUCCUCGCAUGGGGUUUGGUGGAAAGUUUUUUCGGCUGGGGAUGGGCCCGCGGCCUAUCAGCUUGUUUGUGGGGUGAUGGCCUACCAAGGCGACGACGGGUAGCCGGCCUGAGAGGGCGACCGGCCACACUGGGACUGAGACACGGCCCAGACUCCUACGGGAGGCAGCAGCGGGGAAUAUUGCGCAAUGGGCGGAAGCCUGACGCAGCGACGCCGCGUGGGGGAUGACGGCCUUCGGGUUGUAAACCUCUUUCGACCCCGACGAAUUUGGACGGUAGGGGUAGAAGAAGCACCGGCCAACUACGUG
Molecule: ribosomal RNA, 460 nt
Filed under: uncultured bacterium
Lineage: Bacteria
Description: partial 16S ribosomal RNA
Rfam family: Bacterial small subunit ribosomal RNA
Source: RNAcentral